AUUGAACGCUGGCGGCAGGCCUAACACAUGCAAGUCGAACAAGUGGCGGACGGGUGAGUAAUGUCUGGGAAACUGCCUGAUGGAGGGGGAUAACUACUGGAAACGGUAGCUAAUACCGCAUACCAUCAGAUGUGCCCAGAUGGGAUUAGCGUGUGGGUGGGGUAACGGCUCACCAAGGGGACGAUCCCUAGCUGGUCUGAGAGGAUGACCAGGCCCACUGGAACUGUGACACGGUCCAGACUCCUACGGGAGGCAGCAGUGGGGAAUAUUGGACAAUGGGCGCAAGCCUGAUGCAGCCAUGCCGCGUGUAUGAAGAAGGCCUUCGGGUUGUAAAGUACUUGCCUCGGGGAGGCGUUACCCGCAGAAGAAGCCACGGCUAACUCCGUGCCAGCAGCCGCGGUAAUAC
This 406-nucleotide ribosomal RNA is filed under the name uncultured bacterium. RNAcentral's name for it is "partial 16S ribosomal RNA". It matches the Rfam family "Bacterial small subunit ribosomal RNA", at positions 30 to 526 of the family's 1533-position model. The record is from RNAcentral.